CCUACGGGUGGCUGCAGUGGGGAAUAUUGGACAAUGGGGGCAACCCUGAUCCAGCCAUGCCGCGUGUGUGAAGAAGGCCCUCGGGUUGUAAAGCACUUUCAGUGAGGAAGAACGCCUGGUGGUUAAUACCCAUCAGGAAAGACAUCACUCACAGAAGAAGCACCGGCUAACUCCGUGCCAGCAGCCGCGGUAAUACGGAGGGUGCGAGCGUUAAUCGGAAUUACUGGGCGUAAAGCGCGCGUAGGUGGCUUGAUAAGCCGGUUGUGAAAGCCCCGGGCUCAACCUGGGAACGACAUCCGGAACUGUCAAGCUAGAGUGCAGGAGAGGAAGGUAGAAUUCCCGGUGUAGCGGUGAAAUGCGUAGAGAUCGGGAGGAAUACCAGUGGCGAAGGCGGCCUUCUGGACUGACACUGACACUGAGGUGCGAAAGCGUGGGUAGCAAACAGGAUUAGAUACCCCAGUAGUC
RNAcentral lists this ribosomal RNA (465 nucleotides) under Vreelandella stevensii. Its description in RNAcentral is "partial 16S ribosomal RNA". It matches the Rfam family "Bacterial small subunit ribosomal RNA", at positions 338 to 795 of the family's 1533-position model. Lineage: Bacteria; Pseudomonadati; Pseudomonadota; Gammaproteobacteria; Oceanospirillales; Halomonadaceae. The record is from RNAcentral.